AGAAACCAACCGGGAUUGCCUCAGUAACGGCGAGUGAAGCGGCAAGAGCUCAAAUUUGAAAGCUGGCCCCUCCGGGGUCCGCGUUGUAAUUUGCAGAGGAUGCUUCGGGAGCGGCCCCCAUCUAAGUGCCCUGGAACGGGCCGUCAUAGA
RNAcentral lists this ribosomal RNA (150 nucleotides) under Penicillium hispanicum. RNAcentral describes it as "partial 28S ribosomal RNA". It matches the Rfam family "Eukaryotic large subunit ribosomal RNA", at positions 60 to 209 of the family's 3401-position model. Lineage: Eukaryota; Fungi; Ascomycota; Eurotiomycetes; Eurotiales; Aspergillaceae. The record is from RNAcentral.